RNAcentral lists this ribosomal RNA (432 nucleotides) under uncultured bacterium. Its description in RNAcentral is "partial 16S ribosomal RNA". It matches the Rfam family "Bacterial small subunit ribosomal RNA", at positions 29 to 507 of the family's 1533-position model. The record is from RNAcentral.
AGCGAACGCUGGCGGCAGGCCUAACACAUGCAAGUCGAACGAACUCUUCGGAGUUAGUGGCGGACGGGUGAGUAACACGUGGGAACGUGCCUUUUGGUUCGGAAUAACUCAGGGAAACUUGUGCUAAUACCGAAUGUGCCCUUCGGGGGAAAGAUUUAUCGCCAUUAGGGCGGCCCGCGUCUGAUUAGCUAGUUGGUGGGGUAACGGCUCACCAAGGCGACGAUCAGUAGCUGGUCUGAGAGGAUGACCAGCCACACUGGGACUGAGACACGCCCAGACUCCUACGGGAGGCAGCAGUGGGGAAUCUUGCGCAAUGGGCGAAAGCCUGACGCAGCCAUGCCGCGUGAAUGAUGAAGGUCUUAGGAUUGUAAAAUUCUUUCACCGGGGACGAUAAUGACGGUACCCGGAGAAGAAGCCCCGGCUAACUUCGUG